CGUAGCGAAGUUACGCUAAUACCGCAUACGAUCUACGGAUGAAAGCGGGGGAUCGCAAGACCUCGCGCGAUUGGAGCGGCCGAUAUCAGAUUAGGUAGUUGGUGGGGUAAAGGCUCACCAAGCCAACGAUCUGUAGCUGGUCUGAGAGGACGACCAGCCACACUGGAACUGAGACACGGUCCAGACUCCUACGGGAGGCAGCAGUGGGGAAUUUUGGACAAUGGACGCAAGUCUGAUCCAGCCAUUCCGCGUGCAGGAUGAAGGCCCUCGGGUUGUAAACUGCUUUUGUACAGAACGAAAAGGCUUCCAUUAAUACUGGGGGCUCAUGACGGUACUGUAAGAAUAAGCACCGGCUAACUACGUGCCAGCAGCCGCGGUAAUACGUAGGGUGCAAGCGUUAAUCGGAAUUACUGGGCGUAAAGCGUGCGCAGGCGGUUAUAUAAGACAGAUGUGAAAUCCCCGGGCUCAACCUGGGAACUACAUUUGUGACUGUAUAGCUAGAGUACGGUAGAGGGGGAUGGAAUUCCGCGUGUAGCAGUGAAAUGCGUAGAUAUGCGGAGGAACACCGAUGGCGAAGGCAAUCCCCUGGACCUGUACUGACGCUCAUGCACGAAAGCGUGGGGAGCAAACAGGAUUAGAUACCCUGGUAGUCCACGCCCUAAACGAUGUCAACUGGUUGUUGGGUCUU
RNAcentral lists this ribosomal RNA (688 nucleotides) under uncultured Limnohabitans sp. Its description in RNAcentral is "bacterial SSU rRNA". It matches the Rfam family "Bacterial small subunit ribosomal RNA", at positions 147 to 831 of the family's 1533-position model. The record is from RNAcentral. Lineage: Bacteria; Pseudomonadati; Pseudomonadota; Betaproteobacteria; Burkholderiales; Comamonadaceae.